This 1675-nucleotide long non-coding RNA is filed under the name Marmota monax (woodchuck). The record is from RNAcentral. Lineage: Eukaryota; Metazoa; Chordata; Mammalia; Rodentia; Sciuridae.
CUCUCUUUAAAAAAAAAAAAAAGAAAUAGUAUACCAUUGUAGUCAAAUUUGUCUUUUGUUUCAGCACUUUUGAAGAAUUUUAGCUGCUUUCAGGACGGUUUGUUUAUUUAUUACUGUUGACAUUUCUUUCUAAACCUGGAACUUCAUAAACAGGAUGCAUAUUUUGAGUUUAGACUUUGAAUGUAAAAUCUGCUCUGAUUUCUAGCACCAUUUAUUUCUAGCUGCAGUUUGAUCUCUAUCUUUAGGUUUGAUCUCUAGGUUUGAUCUCUAUCUGUAGGUCAGGGCCUAUGAGAUCAUGCUUGUAAAGUGUGUGUUUAUUCAAAUGCACAUUUAAUUGAAAUAUCUCAGUAGAAGCAGGUAUCUUGACUCACUUAAAAUUAUCUUACAGUUUAAAAUUUAAAGCCAUGUUGGGAUUAAAUCAAAAUUCUUUAAAUUCGAGGUAGAAUGUAGAACCAAGUUAUAGAGUCUCGUAUAGAUUUUAAUAUGUAAAAUCUUUUGUUGGCAUACAGAUAAAUGCUACAGUAGCAAUGGUGUUGUUUUUUUCUGAUUAUGUUCCAGUAGUAAUAGUGUCCCUAUUACUUACCUGUGCUGUUUUGGAGAUGCAGAAAUAAAUUAUGAAGGGACAUGUAGUGCUUCUGUAGAUUUUUGCCUUUGAUGUUUUUGACUUCUCAUUGAUUAUGGGGUCAAAUGAUUAAUUUUUUAAAAAAGUAGAACUGUAGUCAGCUGGCAUCUAGUACUGUAAAAUGUUAGGAUUUUAAAGCUAAGGUUCAAAACAUUUAUUUCAAAGAUCAUAUUAUUGAAGUUAACAGUGUAGAAAUGCAGUCCUUUGAUAUAAGCCAAUCUUAAAUUACUGUCAGCUGUUGUAUUUAUUGUAUUCCAUGUCAACUUCUAGAGUUAUUUUAGUGGGGUAUUUCAUUGUUUUGUAGCUUGGAACAGCAAUUUGAGAUUGAAUCCUCAUUCUAGCUCAGAGGAAGGAACAGAAUGAGAAAGCUGGAUUGUUUCCCCACUUAUCCGAAGACUUAACUGUGAAGUGGUUUGAAUUUCAUAAGUUUACUAAUAAUUAGUAAGAACUAUUUUGGGGCCACUUACAUGGUUUUGGAAAAAGGCAUACUUUCUAUAACUUUAAAAAAAUUUAUUUUGGGGACUGGGGUGUAGAUCAGUAACAGAGUCUAUGCUUAGCAUGUGUGAGGCCUUGGGUUUAAUUCCCAGCACCAAAAACAAAACAAAAAAUUAUAUGGAACAUGAUCAUGACUACUAUGAACCUAAAAUUUAAUGUAGGAGAAAUUUGCUUCUAUCUCUCAGAAGGUUGGUGUGUGAGUUAGAAGUCCUGGACAAUGGAAACUAAUUUCUUAAAGAAGUUAAAUGUAUUUGUUUACAUUUUAACUCUAUAACUCCUUUAAUAAUUUGAAGUUGCUAUUUUAGGUAAAACUGAUAGUCUACUACAAUUAUUUCUGCAUACUUUCUAGAGGCAUCAUAGAAUAUCUGCUUGGAUGUUUAGAAAUUAUUUAUAUCUCUGUUUUUUCCUAAAUCAAAGAGUUAGAAGUUAGUUAAAAGCUGUUAUAAUUUGAAAGUCAACCCCAAUCAAAUGUGUUUGAAUUUAUUUAUAAAAUUGUGAUAAAAAAGAAGUUUAGGGGCUGGGGUUGUAGCUCAGCGGUAGAGCGCUCACCAAGCACGU